This is a long non-coding RNA of Papaver somniferum (opium poppy), 202 nucleotides long. RefSeq lists it as uncharacterized. The transcript is spliced from 3 exons. NCBI's taxonomy places the organism in Eukaryota, Viridiplantae, Streptophyta, Magnoliopsida, Ranunculales, Papaveraceae. The record is from RefSeq and is a predicted model, not a curated record.
CCCGAUCUCAUCUUCAGUGCUAGGGUUUGCCAUAACAUUUGCAGAAUGAUUCCUUCAUCGAAAGCUACUGAAAAAGAUUUAUCUGUCUCAACAAAAGAAAUCAACGGAGAAAAAGAACCUCUCCUUGAAGUUUUGGACAAAGAUUUCUCUGUCUCAACAAAAGAAGUCAACAGAGAAAAGGAACCUCUCCUUGAAGUUCUAG